UAGGGAAUAUUGCACAAUGGGCGCAAGCCUGAUGCAGCAACGCCGCGUGCGCGAUGAAGGCCUUCGGGUCGUAAAGCGACUUUUCUGGAGGAAGAGCAAGGACGGUACUCCAGGAAGAAGGAUCGGCUAACUACGUGCCAGCAGCCGCGGUAACACGUAGGAUCCGAGCGUUAUCCGAAUUUACUGGGCGUAAAGCGCGUGCAGGCGGUUUUGGAAAGUUGGACGUGAAAUCUCCCGGCUCAACUGGGAGGGGUCGUUCAAGACUGCCAGACUAGAGGGCAGUAGAGGGAGGUGGAAUUCCCGGUGUAGUGGUGAAAUGCGUAGAUAUCGGGAGGAACACCAGUGGCGAAAGCGGCCUCCUGGGCUGCACCUGACGCUCAGACGCGAAAGCUAGGGGAGCGAACGGGAUUAGAUACCCCGGUAGUCCUAGCCGUAAACGAUGUGGACUUGGCGUCGGUGGGUUCAAAUCCGCCGGUGCCGCAGCUAACGCGUUAAGUCCA
RNAcentral lists this ribosomal RNA (500 nucleotides) under uncultured Chloroflexota bacterium. Its description in RNAcentral is "bacterial SSU rRNA". It matches the Rfam family "Bacterial small subunit ribosomal RNA", at positions 355 to 868 of the family's 1533-position model. Lineage: Bacteria; Bacillati; Chloroflexota. The record is from RNAcentral.